This 120-nucleotide transfer RNA is filed under the name Xylariaceae sp. FL1651. Its description in RNAcentral is "tRNA-Leu". It matches the Rfam family "tRNA". Rfam says of the family: Transfer RNA (tRNA) molecules are approximately 80 nucleotides in length. Lineage: Eukaryota; Fungi; Ascomycota; Sordariomycetes; Xylariales; Xylariaceae. The record is from RNAcentral.
GGUGAGAUGGCCGAGUGGUUAUGGCGCCGUGUUCAGGCUAAUUUGGCAAGGAGGCUUAUAGUCUUCCUGUUAAAAUUCGCGGUGGAGCAAUCCGCGUGGGUUCGAGUCCCACUCUCAUCA